AUUCAUGUAGUUAUGCCUUCAGAAUCUCCAAAUGCAAAGAACUAAUUUUGAGUCAGCCCCAGACCACAGAACUGACAUUUUAUUUCUUAUUCCAUUUAUGUCUCUACAAUAGAUGUAAUUUUUAGACACAAGUUCAUUCGGAAGCUAAUAAAUAUAUUGUAUGAAAAGAUAUCGCAGCUCUCCAGCCCCCUACUGAAGGAGUGGCUCAGAAGUCAGAAACCCCAGUCUCUAGAAAGGCAGAUGACUCACUGACACUGCUCUUUCUCAGUGUCAGAGUUCAUCACACUUUUCCCCAGUAGCCAGGCUCCCUUUCCUGACUCUGUAGCUGCAGGGUUCCACAGAGCGGGUUUCUUCUAUGCUAAACAAAUGACUUUUUUUUUUAGACUUAUUUCCCACUUACUAAUACUCUCUGGGCUUCCAGUAAAAUUUAAGUUUGCCAAAUAUCCCCAAGGAGUCAAAGACCUAAUUUUAGAGAAGAUGGAAAGUGCAUCCUCAAAGCAACUGGGAGUACCCAUCCUUAACGGUAAGAAUGACAAAGGGGGGAGGCAGCAGCGGCCCAUUUCCUCCAUCUCACAGAGCAGCAUCUUUAUGAAAAGUGAGCUCAGCUGUUAACAGUCCGGGGAGGGACCGCUAUCUACCACAUCACAGGCGGCAGAGAAGAACAGGAUGUUAUGAGUACAGUGUGAACCUCGGAGCUAGAGUCAAAACCAUAGUUGGCGCUUCCCAGGCGUGUGUUUACCUUGUUUUCUUCAAAGUUUAAAAGAGAACUCUUCUGUUAUAUAAAGUGUAAGCAAACCCUACCCGAGGGGGGAGCAGCGCAGAACCGAUAAACUUCCUCAUUUUCAUUAAUAAAAAGAAUGCCCACUCCUGGUUUAUAACAACCUAUCACCAAAGUGGCCUGUAGCCCCUCGCUGAUUCUUAAAGGAUUCAGGCUCUAUCUCCAGCUCUGCUUCUUUGUAGCCCAAGUGAGCCUCAGAGCAGUUGAAGGCAUCAGGUCAAUUCGAGUUCCCCAGAUUCUUCAACUGUCAAAUGAAGACGGUUGGGAUUUUUCUGUUAAACAUUGUCUGGCCCUCAGAAAGCAAAACAAAAUAACAGGGCGGUACUGACAAGGAAACUGACAAACUGACGGAGAGGAGAGUUUAACCCUUGAAAUUGGCCUUGUUUAGCAACUUCUCGUUUGUUAUCCCCCGUACAGCCGUUUGUAAGUUACAGUUAAAAAUGAAUUCUCAAGAUGAACAACCCUCCAGCUGUCAGGCCUAACUUUCACCGUCUCACUGCUCAGUUGGCAGUAUGCUGGUUAAGAAUAGAGGGUUUUACACAGAACUGGGUUCGAAUCUUGAUCUUUUGCUACUUGCUGGGGAUCUUAUGCAAGUUACUCCACCUUUCUGAGCUGUUUCUUUUCUUAAAAAGAACUAUUGUAAGAAUUAAGAGAAUGCAUAUAAAGGAUUUACUCCAGGUCUGUUACUUGAGAAGCACUCAGUAAGUGUCACUAUUAUUAAACUUAAACCAGUAUAUUAAUCAGGACCCAACUGGUUGUAAGUGAAACAGACCCCACACAAACUGGGUUAAACAAAAAAAGGAAAUUAUUGCCAUAAAAAAUUGAAAACUCCUCUGGCAAGUUUGGUUCAGGCACAUACGGAUCGGGGUGCUCAAAUGAGGCCCCAAGACUUGAUGCCCCCUCCCCACCCCCGCCUUCUUGAAUCUGCUCUGCUGUGCUGUUUGGCCUUCACUCCUCUGCAGGCUCAGUCCAGAAGAAUUCCAGGCUUACAUUCUCCCAGUAGGAAAACUGUGCUGGAGAAAUCUCUAUCAAGCGCUCCCUCUUUGUAUCUCGUUGAUGGGAUCCAUACGCCCAUCCCUGAACCAAUCGCUGUGACCUGAGAGAAAGAAUGCUCUGAUUGGCCAGGGCUGAGUCACGUGUUCAUUCUGGAGCGGAGGGGUGCUGCCCUCCUCGCUGAAGCCAGAGCAACUGAGUGGGAGAAGGGGGAAGGAAGACACUUGCUGGGAAAUAGAAGAUAUGCAAACUUCACCUUCAAAUUGAGAGAGCAAGGCCUGCAAGGGUGAAAGGAGUUGUCCCAGCUGCCUCCUAAGGGGAAAGAAAUUGGAAUGUCGCACCCAUGAUCUCUCAAGACACUGAGUUGCCAUAGGUACCCCAAAGGACAUUCCAGGAGUGGAAAUGCCUUGAUGUCAAGUUAAAAGCUACCUGUAGGCUGGCUUUUUUUGGUCGCCAAGUGUGGUCCUAGGAUUUUUGAAUUGGUUCUGAUUCAUUUGAAUCUUUUAAAUAUGUUUUAUCUGUGUAUUUCAUGUUGGAAAGAAGCCCAUCAAUCGGGUACCUUUUUAUAUGGGCCAAUUAGAUCUCACUCAGAAAUAGUGUGCCUUCAUCCCAAUGUCUCUUCCUCCUAGUGUUUUAUCAUUUGAUAAAUAAAGAGGAGUGCUAAAAAUGUCC
Molecule: long non-coding RNA, 2443 nt
Filed under: Equus caballus (horse)
Lineage: Eukaryota; Metazoa; Chordata; Mammalia; Perissodactyla; Equidae
Description: lncRNA (ENSECAG00000046916.1)
Source: RNAcentral